Molecule: long non-coding RNA, 1806 nt
Organism: Pan troglodytes (chimpanzee)
Lineage: Eukaryota; Metazoa; Chordata; Mammalia; Primates; Hominidae
Exons: 7
Source: RefSeq, a predicted model, not a curated record
AGAGGCCUCGCGAGGCAGGGCUAGAAGCUGUGGCCUCACCCUUGAGGCCCGGGCACUUCCCGUCUCCUCCCUUGCUCCCCUUCCUCACCCCAAUCCCUACAGCCUCCCGCGCAGCCUGAGCUCUAGGAUUGUGGGUUUUCCAUCCUCCGAAGACAUCACCUUUGCUCAUCUCCCAGGAGAGUCUCAUCCAAAGGAGGGGGGUGCUUUCUGCUUCAGCAGAUCCCAUCCCACCCUGGGAUCCGAGGGAGCAAUGGUGGGGCGAGUGAGGGUCUGCCGUAAAUAUCCCCCGACCACCCUCUGGGAAGGUGCUAGAGGCCACAGGCAAAUUUCAGUCUCCCCAUGGAAUAUCUGCUGUGCUGCUGCUGCUGCUGCUGCUGGUGCUGAACUCUUAGGGUCACCUGGAGCACCUUGGGAGCCAGAGAUGCAGCCAAAGAGUGAACAAUGGUACCAAUCCCAAGACCCAUGUGUUAAGAAGAAACCAGCCAAGACUCAGAUCAGGAUUGGGGAGUCCACCCCUCGUUUCCCUUCAGAGCAUUAUUUCCUUGUUUGCUAAGUGGGGCAGGAACUGGAAAACCCAGGCUAGCCCAUCUGAGAAGACUUUCCUGGAGAUGAGCUGGAGGAGGGAGGAGUAAGGCCUUGGAAGGAAACUCCAGGACAGACCAGAAGACAGUGGAAUAUCUCUAAAAUGCUGAAGGAAAAAAAAAGUCAACUCAGAAUUGUUUUUCCAGUGAAAGUAUUCUUCCAGAAUGAAGAUGAAAUAAAGCUAUUUUCAGAUAAAAGAAAACAGAGAUUCUUGUCGCCAGCAGACCUCCACUAUGAGAAGCGCUAAAGAAAGUUCUUUAGGACGGGCACGAUAGCUCACGCCUAUAAUCCCAGCAUUUUGGGAGGCCAAGGUGGGAGGAUUGCUUGAGCUCGGAAGAUGGAGGCUGCAGUGAGCCAUGAUGGUGCCACUGCACUCCAGCUUGGAUGACAGAGUGAGACGCUGUCUCAAAUUGGAAGAGCAGAGCUGCAGACAGGAAUAAGAAGAACGGUAAAUUUGAAGAUGGGACCGUCUAGUUGCAAGAAAACAAGCUCAGGGCUCCCACUGAUUCUACAUUACGGGCUGUGGGUUCCUUGAGGGAGGAAUUUUGUCCUGCAGGCUGUGGCAGCCCUAGGACUCAGCACAUCUAGGUGUCCACCUGCGUCUGUGGUGAGAAGCCUGAUCAUUGCCAUGUGACCGCCUCCUCACUGUUGGUACCUGGUUGUAGAGAGCAGCUCUGUCAGUUAUAUCACAGUCCUUCACAGGGCGCCUGGAUUUGCCCACCAGAUCUCCUCACCUCUUGCCCUUCACCUCCUGCUGUACCUACAAGGUCUCCCCGAUUCUCAUCUGCCCAUAAUCAUGGACACAGCCCCAGGAUGUGCAGGGUGAGUCCCCAGGGACCCUGACAGCAUGGGUACUCUUAUGACUGAGGGCGUUACACCAGGGAGAGGGAGCCGGGGAGACUUCCCAGAGAGCUGGUUGGGGGUUAUGAAAGUGGCCUCACGGCUGAUGCGGUGGCUCACACCUGUAAUCCCAGCACUUUGGGAGGCUGAGGCGGGCAGAUUGCUUGAGGUCAGGAGUUCGAGAUCAGCCUGGCGAACAUGGUGAAACCCAGUCUUUACUAAAAAUACAAAAAAAUUACGUGGGCCUGGUGGCACGUGCCUGUAGUCCUGGCUACUCAGGAGGCUGAGGCACGAGAAUCACUUGAACCUGGGAGGCGGAGGCUGCAGUGAGCCGAGAUUGCACCACUGCACUCCAGCCUGGGCGGCAGAGCAAGAUUCUGUCUC